GCGCUAUCAGAUGAGCCUAGGUCGGAUUAGCUAGUUGGUGAGGUAAUGGCUCACCAAGGCGACGAUCCGUAACUGGUCUGAGAGGAUGAUCAGUCACACUGGAACUGAGACACGGUCCAG
This 120-nucleotide ribosomal RNA is filed under the name uncultured bacterium. RNAcentral describes it as "partial 16S ribosomal RNA". It matches the Rfam family "Bacterial small subunit ribosomal RNA", at positions 215 to 334 of the family's 1533-position model. The record is from RNAcentral.